AGUGAACGCUGGCGGUAGGCCUAACACAUGCAAGUCGAACGGCAGCACAGGAGAGCUUGCUCUCUAGGUGGCGAGUGGCGGACGGGUGAGGAAUACAUCGGAAUCUGCCCAGUCGUGGGGGAUAACGUAGGGAAACUUACGCUAAUACCGCAUACGACCUUCGGGUGAAAGAGGGGGAUCGCAAGACCUCUCGCGAUUGGAUGAGCCGAUGUCGGAUUAGCUAGUUAGCGGGGUAAUGGCCCACCAAGGCGACGAUCCGUAGCUGGUCUGAGAGGAUGAUCAGCCACACUGGAACUGAGACACGGUCCAGACUCCUACGGGAGGCAGCAGUGGGGAAUAUUGGACAAUGGGCGCAAGCCUGAUCCAGCCAUACCGCGUGGGUGAAGAAGGCCUUCGGGUUGUAAAGCCCUUUUGUUGGGAAAGAAAUCUUUCAGGCUAAUACCCUGGGAGGAUGGCGGUACCCAAAGAAUAAGCACCGGCUAACUUCGUG
Molecule: ribosomal RNA, 490 nt
Filed under: uncultured bacterium
Lineage: Bacteria
Description: partial 16S ribosomal RNA
Rfam family: Bacterial small subunit ribosomal RNA
Source: RNAcentral